This 424-nucleotide long non-coding RNA is filed under the name Astyanax mexicanus (Mexican tetra). Its description in RNAcentral is "lncRNA (ENSAMXG00005022955.1)". Lineage: Eukaryota; Metazoa; Chordata; Actinopteri; Characiformes; Acestrorhamphidae. The record is from RNAcentral.
GGAGGGCAGUGAAGUCCAGCAGUGAAGAAGAGCAUCUACUGAAGCCAGUUCACACCUCAAACAUCUAAAGCUACAACUUUACUCUGAGGCAUGUCUCAGAGGAGCAAAGCAUCCUCAAGUCAGAGCUCUUCCUCUCGCCCCUCCUCUGCCUCGGACAACCCCCCGCUGCGCUCGGCUCUGAAGCACGGCUCUAAAGACUCAAAGGACUCUAAAGACUCUAAAGGCUCCCGCCGCCGCCGCAGCCUAACCCAGGGUUCUGUCUACCUGCCCUACCUCAAUGCAUUGUUCGGACAGGUCAGCUACAACACACUGUACACACACAAACACACACACACACACACACACACACAGUAUAAAAAGGAAAUUAACAGUACAGAAAAUUCACGGUUCAGUUCACACCUUGCCUUCUGUAUUAUGAAGUUAA